This 254-nucleotide ribosomal RNA is filed under the name uncultured bacterium. RNAcentral describes it as "partial 16S ribosomal RNA". It matches the Rfam family "Bacterial small subunit ribosomal RNA", at positions 526 to 779 of the family's 1533-position model. The record is from RNAcentral.
CGGAGGAUCCGAGCGUUAUCCGGAUUUAUUGGGUUUAAAGGGUGCGUAGGCGGCUUUAUAAGUCAGGGGUGAAAGACGGCAGCUCAACUGUCGCAGUGCCUUUGAUACUGUAGAGCUUGAAUGUGGUUGAAGAUGGCGGAAUGAGACAAGUAGCGGUGAAAUGCAUAGAUAUGUCUCAGAACUCCGAUUGCGAAGGCAGCUGUCUAAGUCAUUAUUGACGCUGAUGCACGAAAGCGUGUGGAUCGAACAGGAUU